This 440-nucleotide ribosomal RNA is filed under the name uncultured bacterium. RNAcentral describes it as "bacterial SSU rRNA". It matches the Rfam family "Bacterial small subunit ribosomal RNA", at positions 28 to 439 of the family's 1533-position model. The record is from RNAcentral.
GAUGAACGCUGGCGGCGUGCUUAACACAUGCAAGUCGAACGAAGAUGCCGGAGUGCUUGCACUUUGGCAGACUGAGUGGCGGACGGGUGAGUAACGCGUGGGUAACCUGCCUUAUACAGGGGGAUAACAGUUGGAAACGACUGCUAAUACCGAAUAAGUUCCAAGAGCCGCAUGGCCCAUGGAAGAAAAGGUGGCCUCUACCUGUAAGCUAUCGCCUGAAGAGGGGUUUGCGUCUGAUUAGCUGGUUGAGGGGUAACGGGCCCGACCCAAGGCGACGAUCAGUAGCCGGUCUGAGAGGGUGAACGGCCACAUUGGGACUGAGACACGGCCCAAACUCCUACGGGAGGCAGCAGUGGGGAAGUAUUGCACAAUGGGGGAAACCCGUGAUGCAGCGACGCCGCGUGAGUGAAGAAGUAUUCGGUAUGUAAAGACUCUAUCAG